This 501-nucleotide ribosomal RNA is filed under the name uncultured bacterium. RNAcentral describes it as "partial 16S ribosomal RNA". It matches the Rfam family "Bacterial small subunit ribosomal RNA", at positions 30 to 523 of the family's 1533-position model. The record is from RNAcentral.
AUUGAACGCUGGCGGCAGGCUUAACACAUGCAAGUCGAGCGGGGGAAGGUAGCUUGCUACUGGACCUAGCGGCGGACGGGUGAGUAAUGCUUAGGAAUCUGCCUAUUAGUGGGGGACAACAUCUCGAAAGGGAUGCUAAUACCGCAUACGUCCUACGGGAGAAAGCAGGGGAUCUUCGGACCUUGCGCUAAUAGAUGAGCCUAAGUCGGAUUAGCUAGUCGGUGGGGUAAAGGCCUACCAAGGCGACGAUCUGUAGCGGGUCUGAGAGGAUGACCCGCCACACUGGGACUGAGACACGGCCCAGACUCCUACGGGAGGCAGCAGUGGGGAAUAUUGGACAAUGGGGGGAACCCUGAUCCAGCCAUGCCGCGUGUGUGAAGAAGGCCUUAUGGUUGUAAAGCACUUUAAGCGAGGAGGAGGCUACUUUAGCUAAUACCUAGAGAUAGUGGACGUUACUCGCAGAAUAAGCACCGGCUAACUCUGUGCCAGCAGCCGCAGUAA